GACGAACGCUGGCGGCGUGCUUAACACAUGCAAGUCGAACGGAAAGGCCCCUUUGGGGGUACUCGAGUGGCGAACGGGUGAGUAACACGUGAGUAACCUGCCCUUGACUUCGGGAUAACUUCAGGAAACUGGGGCUAAUACCGGAUAGGAAUCCUUGCUGCAUGGUGGGGGUUGGAAAGCUUCGGCGGUUUUGGAUGGACUCGCGGCUUAUCAGCUUGUUGGUGGGGUAGUGGCUUACCAAGGCGUUGACGGGUAGCCGGCCUGAGAGGGCGACCGGCCACAUUGGGACUGAGAUACGGCCCAGACUCCUACGGGAGGCAGCAGGGGGGAAUAUUGCACAAUGGGCGGAAGCCUGAUGCAGCAACGCCGCGUGCGGGAUGACGGCCUUCGGGUUGUAAACCGCUUUCAGCAGGGGCGAAGCUUGUGGUGACGGUACCUGCAGAAGAAGCACCGGCUAACUACGUG
Molecule: ribosomal RNA, 465 nt
Filed under: uncultured bacterium
Lineage: Bacteria
Description: partial 16S ribosomal RNA
Rfam family: Bacterial small subunit ribosomal RNA
Source: RNAcentral